CGCCUGGGGAGUACGGCCGCAAGGCUGAAACUCAAAGGAAUUGACGGGGACCCGCCCAAGCGGUGGAGCAUGUGGUUUAAUUGGAAGCAACGGGAAGAACCUUACCAACUCUUGACAUCCCAUUGACCGCUUGAGAGAUCAAGUUUUCCCUUCGGGGACAAUGGUGACAGGUGGUGCAUGGUUGUCGUCAGCUCGUGUCGUGAGAUGUUGGGUUAAGUCCCGCAACGAGCGCAACCCCUAUCCUUAGUUGCCAGCAUUCAGUUGGGCACUCUAGGGAGACUGCCGGUGACAAACCGGAGGAAGGUGGGGAUGACGUCAAAUCAUCAUGCCCCUUAUGAGUUGGGCUACACACGUGCUACAAUGGACGGUACAAAGGGCAGCGAGACCGCGAGGUGGAGCCAAUCCCAUAAAGCCGUUCCCAGUUCGGAUUGCAGGCUGCAACUCGCCUGCAUGAAGUCGGAAUCGCUAGUAAUCGCAGGUCAGCAUACUGCGGUGAAUACGUUCCCGGGUCUUGUACACACCGCCCGUCACACCACGAGAGUUUGCAACACCCGAAGCCGGUGAGGUAAC
RNAcentral lists this ribosomal RNA (570 nucleotides) under Exiguobacterium sp. MAL 19. RNAcentral describes it as "bacterial SSU rRNA". It matches the Rfam family "Bacterial small subunit ribosomal RNA", at positions 870 to 1439 of the family's 1533-position model. The record is from RNAcentral. Lineage: Bacteria; Bacillati; Bacillota; Bacilli; Caryophanales.